Molecule: ribosomal RNA, 574 nt
Filed under: uncultured bacterium
Lineage: Bacteria
Description: bacterial SSU rRNA
Rfam family: Bacterial small subunit ribosomal RNA
Source: RNAcentral
ACGGGUGAGUAACGCGUGAGAAUCUGCCCUUUAGUGGAGAAUACCCUCGGGAAACCGAGGUUAAUACUGCAUACGUCCCUGCGGGGAGAAAGAUGGCCUCUUUGCUAUCGCUAAAGGAUGAGCUUGCGUACUAUUAGCUAGUUGGUGGGGUAAUGGCCUACCAAGGCGAUGAUGGUUAGCCGGCCUGAGAGGGUGAACGGCCACAUUGGAACUGAGACACGGUCCAGACUCCUACGGGAGGCAGCAGUGAGGGAUAUUGCGCAAUGGGCGAAAGCCUGACGCAGCGACACCGCGUGAAGGAUGAAGGUCUUAGGAUCGUAAACUUCUGUUAAGUGGGAAGAAAAGCAUGGCCCUAAUAUGGUCAUGAAAUGACGGUACCACUAGAGAAAGCACCGGCUAACUUCGUGCCAGCAGCCGCGGUAAGACGAGGGGUGCAAACGUUAUUCGGAAUGAUUGGGCGUAAAGGGUGCGCAGGCGGCACAUUAAGUCAAUUGUUAAAUUUCCCGGCCUAACCGGGAGUCAGCGAUAGAAACUGGUGUGCUUGAGGGUGGAAGAGAGAAGUGGAAUUCUCGGA